UGUAGAUAUAUCGAUCGUCGUAAGAGUCUGACGCGUCGUCGGCAAUUGGGCCAUAAAUUUCUAAUGGAAUGUUGGGCCCAAGUCGUGGCGUCGGGGCUCGUACUACUAGCGAGCGCCGACGCACAAUUGGAGAGCUGAGAUUCUAGACUCCGAAGUUUUGAAACUGAGUUUGUAUUCCGAACAAGGGCGCACAGAGUUUACUGGUAGUACAAUCUCAUAUUGUCGGCAUUCCAAGUCCGACG
RNAcentral lists this long non-coding RNA (242 nucleotides) under Elaeis guineensis (African oil palm). RNAcentral's name for it is "long non-coding RNA (EGUI_LNC021940)". Lineage: Eukaryota; Viridiplantae; Streptophyta; Magnoliopsida; Arecales; Arecaceae. The record is from RNAcentral.